This 256-nucleotide ribosomal RNA is filed under the name uncultured Gardnerella sp. Its description in RNAcentral is "partial 16S ribosomal RNA". It matches the Rfam family "Bacterial small subunit ribosomal RNA", at positions 99 to 354 of the family's 1533-position model. Lineage: Bacteria; Bacillati; Actinomycetota; Actinomycetes; Bifidobacteriales; Bifidobacteriaceae. The record is from RNAcentral.
CGAACGGGUGAGUAAUGCGUGACCAACCUGCCCCAUGCUCCAGAAUAGCUCUUGGAAACGGGUGGUAAUGCUGGAUGCUCCAACUUGACGCAUGUCUUGUUGGGAAAGUGUUUAGUGGCAUGGGAUGGGGUCGCGUCCUAUCAGCUUGUAGGCGGGGUAAUGGCCCACCUAGGCUUCGACGGGUAGCCGGCCUGAGAGGGCGGACGGCCACAUUGGGACUGAGAUACGGCCCAGACUCCUACGGGAGGCAGCAGGC